AAAGAAAAUGUAUAGGUCAAAGUCGGGACCCUGGCACGAUGAGAUGAUUUUUGAUAAAAAUGCAUCACAGCUUUCAAAGACUUGUGGCCUUACAGUAGAUUUGGAAUAUGAAGAUGGCAUAGAAAGCAUCUGAAGAUUAAAGGACAUAGAAAAAACGGAGAAUGGAAAACACAUGAAAGCCACAACACAUUCCGGCUGCGUAAAAUAUUUGUAGAUCAAAGCAAGAAGUGAAACAUCAACGAAAGAGACACAAAGGCAGACGUGAGGGAGGCACCAAUGCUGAGUAUACACCUGCCAAAAACACUAAAUAGAUGCAGAAAAAACGGACAAAUGAAACCAUGAGGAGGUACAGCCAUGGGGAAUAUGCAAUAGAAAGUCAUAAAAUGCCACCACUUUAUCACUCUCUAUAUUGUUAUCAACGGAAGAGAAUUGAUUUUGGUCAACUGUAUAACCGCUAGGCCCGAGUAGCUUUCUUAUCCUUUAUAUUGUUUACAUGGUGCUGUUAUUUUUUGCUUUCUGAUAUGGCUAUUCUCUAAUGUUACCCUUCUCCGCCAGGGAAUUGUGGCCUGUUUACUGCUUUUGCAAUAUUUUCUCUUGUAAUUGAACUUUUUUUUUUUUUU
Molecule: long non-coding RNA, 620 nt
Organism: Hyla sarda
Lineage: Eukaryota; Metazoa; Chordata; Amphibia; Anura; Hylidae
Exons: 2
Source: RefSeq, a predicted model, not a curated record